Molecule: non-coding RNA, 91 nt
Organism: Mycena polygramma
Lineage: Eukaryota; Fungi; Basidiomycota; Agaricomycetes; Agaricales; Mycenaceae
Source: the annotation of a GenBank genome assembly
GGCUCGGUAGUGGGUGGUCCACAUCUGCAUGUGAUGCUUCGAGAUGCCACAGUUUAUGCAGACAAUGCCUGUUCGACCCAGGCCCGAGCCA